AGUGAACGCUGGCGGCAGGCCUAACACAUGCAAGUCGAACGGCAGCACAGUAAGAGCUUGCUCUUACGGGUGGCGAGUGGCGGACGGGUGAGGAAUACAUCGGAAUCUACUUUUUCGUGGGGGAUAACGUAGGGAAACUUACGCUAAUACCGCAUACGACCUACGGGUGAAAGCAGGGGAUCUUCGGACCUUGCGCGAGUGAAUGAGCCGAUGUCGGAUUAGCUAGUUGGCGGGGUAAAGGCCCACCAAGGCGACGAUCCGUAGCUGGUCUGAGAGGAUGAUCAGCCACACUGGAACUGAGACACGGUCCAGACUCCUACGGGAGGCAGCAGUGGGGAAUAUUGGACAAUGGGCGCAAGCCUGAUCCAGCCAUACCGCGUGGGUGAAGAAGGCCUUCGGGUUGUAAAGCCCUUUUGUUGGGAAAGAAAAGCAGCAGGUUAAUACCCCGCUGUUCUGACGGUACCCAAAGAAUAAGCACCGGCUAACUUCGUG
RNAcentral lists this ribosomal RNA (492 nucleotides) under uncultured bacterium. Its description in RNAcentral is "partial 16S ribosomal RNA". It matches the Rfam family "Bacterial small subunit ribosomal RNA", at positions 29 to 507 of the family's 1533-position model. The record is from RNAcentral.